GGCCUGUUGGCGGAGAGUUUACGCCACGGAUUGCAACUCCGUGCAGCCCCGUUCAAUUCGGGGACAGGCCUCCA
This 74-nucleotide transfer RNA is filed under the name Asticcacaulis taihuensis. Its description in RNAcentral is "tRNA_Pseudo_GCA". The record is from RNAcentral. Lineage: Bacteria; Pseudomonadati; Pseudomonadota; Alphaproteobacteria; Caulobacterales; Caulobacteraceae.